Molecule: ribosomal RNA, 507 nt
Filed under: uncultured fungus
Lineage: Eukaryota; Fungi
Description: SSU rRNA
Rfam family: Eukaryotic small subunit ribosomal RNA
Source: RNAcentral
AGCAGCCGCGGUAAUUCCAGCUCCAAUAGCGUAUAUUAAAGUUGUUGCAGUUNAAAAGCUCGUAGUUGAAUUUCGGGAUUAGUACGUUGGUCGUGCCUUAGGUACGUACUGGUGUUACUGGUUCCUACCUUCUGACGAACCAUCAUGUCAUUAAUUUGGUGUGGCGGGGAAUCAGGACUGUUACUUUGAAAAAAUUAGAGUGUUUAAAGCAGGCUCGCGCUUGAAUACAUUAGCAUGGAAUAAUGAAAUAGGACGUUGACCCUAUUUUGUUGGUUUCUAGGAUUGACGUAAUGAUUAAUAGGGAUAGUUGGGGGCAUUAGUAUUCAAUUGUCAGAGGUGAAAUUCUUGGAUUUAUUGAAGACUAACUACUGCGAAAGCAUUUGCCAAGGAUGUUUUCAUUAAUCAAGAACGAAAGUUAGGGGAUCGAAGACGAUCAGAUACCGUCGUAGUCUUAACCAUAAACUAUGCCGACUAGGGAUCGNAGGNUGUUAAUUUUUUAAUGACUCA